GAUGAACGCUGGCGGCGUGCCUAAUACAUGCAAGUCGAGCGAACAGACGAGGAGCUUGCUCCUCUGACGUUAGCGGCGGACGGGUGAGUAACACGUGGAUAACCUACCUAUAAGACUGGGAUAACUUCGGGAAACCGGAGCUAAUACCGGAUAAUAUAUUGAACCGCAUGGUUCAAUAGUGAAAGACGGUUUUGCUGUCACUUAUAGAUGGAUCCGCGCCGCAUUAGCUAGUUGGUAAGGUAACGGCUUACAAAGGCAACGAUGCGUAGCCGACCUGAGAGGGGGAUCGGCCACACUGUAACGGAUACACGGUGCAGACUAAUAAGGGAGGCAGCAGUUGGGAAUCUUCCGCAAUGGGCGAAAGCCUGACGGAGCACAGCCGGGUGAGUGAUGAAGGUCUUCGGAUCGUAAAACUCUGUUAUUAGGGAAGAACAAAAGUGGAAGUAACGAUGCACGUCGGGAGGGUACCUAAUCAGAAAGCCACGGCUAACUACGUG
Molecule: ribosomal RNA, 497 nt
Filed under: uncultured bacterium
Lineage: Bacteria
Description: partial 16S ribosomal RNA
Rfam family: Bacterial small subunit ribosomal RNA
Source: RNAcentral